Molecule: non-coding RNA, 1056 nt
Organism: Podarcis lilfordi (Lilford's wall lizard)
Lineage: Eukaryota; Metazoa; Chordata; Lepidosauria; Squamata; Lacertidae
Source: the annotation of a GenBank genome assembly
AAGUUCCAAGCAGCUCCUCCGUGAGAAAUCAUGCCAUUGCAUUACUUUCUUAGAUAUUGGGCACCAAUAUCCGUUUGCGAAGCUGGUGAAGGCGAGGGUUGUGCUCCUUCUUUGUUCUUCUGAAUUCCCUCUAAGGAUAUUUCCAUCGACUAGCAUCUCUUGGUUUCAAAAGAGGAAGAGACGUUUUUCUACUGCGUGAUUUUUGCAAUGCUUACAAGACUCCUCCUGAUGGAUUCUGAACGGCAAGCGGCCUUCUCCCUUGAGGCGAAUAGAGCUUUGCUUUGUAAAAGGGGAGCUGUCACCUAAACCUUUGGUGAGGCGUCGGGACAGACCAGGUAAGGGAGCAAAUGGAAACUUUUAUUAUAACCUCACAAUUCUCACAAUUCUCCCUGGAUAGGACCUAGCACUGAGUCUUCCGUGUGUUUUGCUGUUAUUGUUAAAAUUCAAAAGGAAGCCCGGUUACUAGAGAUUAAUGUACUAUCAUACCAUUCUGAAAAACAAAAAUUAUGUUAGCAGGUUUGUAGUAAAGGAUACAUUUGCAAAGCUUCUUUUCUAUUAUAUUCAUUUGAUUUCAUUUCCUUCUUUCCUCAUAUGCCUUUUUUGUUUUCCUGAUCGUUGUCCGAUAUGAAACUCAAUGAUCCCAGGCAGUGUUUUUUUCCUAUAAAACAAUUUUUUUAGGGAUACUCCCAUUUUCCUACUCAUAUUGAAAUACUGCCCCUCAAUGAGGCCACACUUAGACUCACAAAAUGUUUAGGGGUAUGCGUCCCCUUGCGUCCCUCCAGGAAAAAAGCACUGAUCCCAGGGCAUUGUUCCCUGAAAUUGUGUGGUGGCUGGUUGCCCUGAUACAAUACAAUAAAAAGGAGCUGAAACAAUGAGUAGAGAGUUACGCCUUUGAUCGCCUUUCCACAUUUGUUUCAUUUUCUAGUCGCCAGCCUGUUGACCCUGUUUUAUUUUAUGCCAAAUCCUCAAGGCCCCACUGAUGGGAAAAGAUACUUUCGGUUCUUGUAACACAGCUGCUGCCCUGCUGUAACCCCUAAACACUGCACAUGAUUUAAG